GACGAAGGGGGCUAGCGUUGUUCGGAAUUAUUGGGCGUAAAGAGCUUGUAGGCGGUCUGUCGCGUCUGCUGUGAAAAUCCGGGGCUCAACCCCGGACUUGCAGUGGGUACGGGCAGACUAGAGUGUGGUAGGGGAGACUGGAAUUCCUGGUGUAGCGGUGAAAUGCGCAGAUAUCAGGAGGAACACCGAUGGCGAAGGCAGGUCUCUGGGCCACUACUGACGCUGAGAAGCGAAAGCAUGGGGAGCGAACAGG
RNAcentral lists this ribosomal RNA (253 nucleotides) under uncultured bacterium. Its description in RNAcentral is "partial 16S ribosomal RNA". It matches the Rfam family "Bacterial small subunit ribosomal RNA", at positions 524 to 776 of the family's 1533-position model. The record is from RNAcentral.